UUCCCCUACCAGUACGGAGUGAAAUUGUGAUAACUCCUGGCACAACCAUUAAGACCCUCAUCUAUAGUGAAUUGGAACAAAGCACAGGAAGUUUUAAUAAAAGAAAUCUGAGGCCUGGAAUUCCAUGUCUACCAUUCCUCACAGCAAACCUGUGACUGUAACACAGAUUGAUGAAAGAUUCUGCAGGACGACAAAGGUUAAAGAUGCAGACCCGGAGCUAGAAGCCAGCACUGACACUGAUGGAGUGGACUGCGAUGAGAAUGCCCACAUUAUUGUCCUAUCCUCUGAUAACCAAUGUAAUAUGAAAACCGACUACAGAAGAAAGGAACAAAUUAAGUCCAUUAAUCAAGCAUAUCUCUGCUAAACAGUUGUUCGAAACUGAUGAACAAAUGAAAAAUUUACUGUUUGUUUUCAUGCUUGCAAGGAUUGGGGAAGAAAAUUAAUUAUAAGGUA
Long non-coding RNA from Pan troglodytes (chimpanzee), 453 nucleotides. RefSeq lists it as uncharacterized. Lineage: Eukaryota; Metazoa; Chordata; Mammalia; Primates; Hominidae. The record is from RefSeq and is a predicted model, not a curated record. The transcript is spliced from 3 exons.